CAGGGUGAUGGCUCUGGAGAUUUGUAAUUACCAAGUUCAUGCUGAGGAAAUGAAACAACAUGUCAGUGAGACUGCUUAGAAAGACUUGAAAGGAUAAGUGUGUUGACAAGAACUCUGCUACGGACUGUUUCACUGGGGUCUUUUGGUCUAAUACGGAUAGCACAUGCAGAGCAAUCUUGCUGAGGAGAUCCUGUGAACCCACGUGCUGUCAUCUGGGCACCACACUUUCUUCAGCAAUCACUGCAAACACUCUUUUGGGACAGACUUUCCCACAGAUUUUCUUUUGUAACCCUCCAGGAGGGUUGGUAAAUCAUUGCGUCAUGCAGUCAUUUGUGGAAGUGCAACAGAUGGAGGACCAAACAGUUGCAGACAACCAUCCCAGAGCUGAAACUGCUGUCAUGGGGCACCUUGAGGGAGKCAGCCAUGGUGUAAGGCAGCCCUUUCGAGAAGAUCUGCAAGGAUUCUGGAUCACAAUAUUUGUGAUGGGGUUGUCCUAUGCCCAUAAGCCAGGCUGCACUAGUCCUGCUGAGCAGAGGGCUCGAUCUGGUCCUGGUGGUUCUCCAACCUUGGAGGUCUUGGCUCCAUUCUCCGAUAUCAUCUCCACUUGC
Molecule: long non-coding RNA, 608 nt
Organism: Dromaius novaehollandiae (emu)
Lineage: Eukaryota; Metazoa; Chordata; Aves; Casuariiformes; Dromaiidae
Source: Ensembl